GAAGAUAUAGCUCAAGUGGUUAGAGCUCAUGCUUAGCAUGCACAAGGUCCUGGGUUCAAUCCCCAGCACCUCCU
Molecule: transfer RNA, 74 nt
Filed under: Camelus bactrianus (Bactrian camel)
Lineage: Eukaryota; Metazoa; Chordata; Mammalia; Artiodactyla; Camelidae
Also listed under: 2 other names
Rfam family: tRNA
About the family: Transfer RNA (tRNA) molecules are approximately 80 nucleotides in length. Their secondary structure includes four short double-helical elements and three loops (D, anti-codon, and T loops).
Source: Rfam by way of RNAcentral